AGCGAACGCUAGCGGCGGGCCUAACACAUGCAAGUCGAGCGCAUACCUUCGGGUAUGAGCGGCGGACGGGUGAGUAACACGUAGGUAAUCUACCCUUUGGUGGGGAAUAACCCGGGGAAACUCGGGCUAAUGCCGCACGAGGUCUACGGAUCAAAGCCUUCGGGCGCCAGAGGAUGAGCCUGCGUUGCAUUACCUAGUUGGCGGGGUAACGGCCCACCAAGGGGACGAUGCAUAGCUGGUCUGAGAGGAUGAUCAGACCACACUGGGACUGAGACACGGCCCAGACUCCUACGGGAGGCAGCAGUGGGGAAUAUUGCGCAAUGGGGGGAAACCCUGACGCAGCUACGCCGCGUGGGUGAUGAAGGCCUUCGGGUUGUAAGCCCUGUCGGGAGGGACGAAUACUGACGGUACCUCCCAACGAAAGACGACCGGCGUAACUCCGUGCCAGCAGCCGC
RNAcentral lists this ribosomal RNA (455 nucleotides) under uncultured bacterium. RNAcentral's name for it is "bacterial SSU rRNA". It matches the Rfam family "Bacterial small subunit ribosomal RNA", at positions 29 to 518 of the family's 1533-position model. The record is from RNAcentral.